GCGGAAGUGGCGGAAUUGGCAGACGCGCAGGAUUCAGGAUUCUGUGGGCUUACGCCCGUGGGAGUUCGAGUCUCCCCUUCCGCACCA
RNAcentral lists this transfer RNA (87 nucleotides) under Vulcanimicrobiota bacterium. RNAcentral's name for it is "tRNA-Leu". It matches the Rfam family "tRNA". From Rfam's summary of the family: Transfer RNA (tRNA) molecules are approximately 80 nucleotides in length. Their secondary structure includes four short double-helical elements and three loops (D, anti-codon, and T loops). The record is from RNAcentral. Lineage: Bacteria; Bacillati; Vulcanimicrobiota.